GCCUGUUUGGCUCAGUAGAUAGAGCAUCGGUCUGCAGACCGAAAGGUACCAGAUUAAAUUCCGGUCAAGGGCA
Molecule: transfer RNA, 73 nt
Filed under: Myotis davidii
Lineage: Eukaryota; Metazoa; Chordata; Mammalia; Chiroptera; Vespertilionidae
Rfam family: tRNA
About the family: Transfer RNA (tRNA) molecules are approximately 80 nucleotides in length. Their secondary structure includes four short double-helical elements and three loops (D, anti-codon, and T loops).
Source: Rfam by way of RNAcentral